UAAAUCACACUGGCUGUGCAAAAAUUUAUUAUAUUGUUAGUGUAUAUAACCUAAAUCAUUGAGUAAUUACACGUAAAACUUUUGAGCUAUUACUUCAACUGAUAAUUUGGUCAAAAUAAUGGAAGCUAACAUGUUAUCGCAUAUAAAGUUCACUAAUAGUGUGAAAAAAUUAUUACACUGAACUUAAAAUCCAUUUAACAUCUACCCUAAA
RNAcentral lists this long non-coding RNA (211 nucleotides) under Nicotiana benthamiana. Its description in RNAcentral is "long non-coding RNA (NBEN_LNC000376)". The record is from RNAcentral. Lineage: Eukaryota; Viridiplantae; Streptophyta; Magnoliopsida; Solanales; Solanaceae.